GGGCUGUUCAGCUCAGUCGGUUAAAGCAUGGUGUUGAUAACACAGAGGUCAAGGGUUCGAUCCCCGUUCGGUCCC
This 75-nucleotide transfer RNA is filed under the name Apaloderma vittatum (bar-tailed trogon). It matches the Rfam family "tRNA". From Rfam's summary of the family: Transfer RNA (tRNA) molecules are approximately 80 nucleotides in length. Their secondary structure includes four short double-helical elements and three loops (D, anti-codon, and T loops). Lineage: Eukaryota; Metazoa; Chordata; Aves; Trogoniformes; Trogonidae. The record is from Rfam by way of RNAcentral.